This 72-nucleotide transfer RNA is filed under the name Camelus bactrianus (Bactrian camel). It matches the Rfam family "tRNA". Rfam says of the family: Transfer RNA (tRNA) molecules are approximately 80 nucleotides in length. RNAcentral also lists the same sequence under 1 other name. Lineage: Eukaryota; Metazoa; Chordata; Mammalia; Artiodactyla; Camelidae. The record is from Rfam by way of RNAcentral.
GAGGGUAUAGCUCAGUGGUAGAGCACAUGCUUAGCAUGUGCAAGGCCCUGGGUUCAAUCCCCAGUACUGCCA